Molecule: long non-coding RNA, 435 nt
Filed under: Sinocyclocheilus grahami
Lineage: Eukaryota; Metazoa; Chordata; Actinopteri; Cypriniformes; Cyprinidae
Description: lncRNA (ENSSGRG00000004773.1)
Source: RNAcentral
UUUCCUGUCCUUUAACAUUUAUUUUAUAACACUCUCUGAAUCAUCUUGUUUUCAUUUUUGGACCAUUUUCCUAGAAAAAUAAAAAAGCUGUUGAAACCUUGGACAUUAAGUUUAACUUAAGAAAAAGGUCAACUACAUUUAAAUGAAUCCGCCAGAUUUAAGCACUCCAUGGACAGUCUCACAAAAACAGCACAGCCAUGCUUCUUUAAAAAGUGCUAAUUCUAUGCUGGAUUCAAUUGAUUUGAAAAGAGAACCUCUUUUUUCAGUACAAAGGUUUGAUAAGCAGAGAAAGCUGAAUGAUGUGUCGAAUAAAAGCCAGGCAUCAAUGACUGAACCAAUUUAUUUCGACUUUGAAGACUUUGCCACUGAACAACAGUAAGAUAUUUAUACAAACUGUGUCCCUUUAUGUCUUGUAAUUUACACUUCCUAUUCCUG